RNAcentral lists this Y RNA (102 nucleotides) under Microcebus murinus (gray mouse lemur). RNAcentral's name for it is "Y RNA (ENSMICG00000043440.1)". It matches the Rfam family "Y RNA". From Rfam's summary of the family: Y RNAs are components of the Ro ribonucleoprotein particle (Ro RNP), in association with Ro60 and La proteins. The Y RNAs and Ro60 and La proteins are well conserved, but the function of the Ro RNP is not known. In humans the RNA component can be one of four small RNAs -- hY1, hY3, hY4 and hY5. Lineage: Eukaryota; Metazoa; Chordata; Mammalia; Primates; Cheirogaleidae. The record is from Rfam by way of RNAcentral.
GCGUGGUCGGAGUGCAGUGCUGUUUACAGCUGAUUGAUCACAACCACUUACAGGUUUCUUUGUUCUUUCUCCACUCCCACUUCCUCACUUGACUAGACUGAA